RNAcentral lists this ribosomal RNA (600 nucleotides) under Iberoporus cermenius. Its description in RNAcentral is "SSU rRNA". It matches the Rfam family "Eukaryotic small subunit ribosomal RNA", at positions 32 to 601 of the family's 1831-position model. Lineage: Eukaryota; Metazoa; Arthropoda; Insecta; Coleoptera; Dytiscidae. The record is from RNAcentral.
UUGUCUCAAAGAUUAAGCCAUGCAUGUCUCAGUACAAGCCGCACUAAGGUGAAACCGCGAAAGGCUCAUUAAAUCAGUUAUGGUUCCUUAGAUCGUACCCACAUUUACUUGGAUAACUGUGGUAAUUCUAGAGCUAAUACAUGCAAACAGAGCUCCGACCGGAGACGGGAGGAGUGCUUUUAUUAGAUCAAAACCAAUCGGCGGCGGUGGCCGUUCGCGUCGCCGUUCGCCGCUCAACCUGGUGACUCUGAAUAACUUUACGCUGAUCGCACGGUCUCGCACCGGCGACGCAUCUUUCAAAUGUCUGCCUUAUCAACUGUCGAUGGUAGGUUCUGCGCCUACCAUGGUCGUAACGGGUAACGGGGAAUCAGGGUUCGAUUCCGGAGAGGGAGCCUGAGAAACGGCUACCACAUCCAAGGAAGGCAGCAGGCGCGCAAAUUACCCACUCCCGGCACGGGGAGGUAGUGACGAAAAAUAACGAUACGGGACUCAUCCGAGGCCCCGUAAUCGGAAUGAGUACACUUUAAAUCCUUUAACGAGGACCAAUUGGAGGGCAAGUCUGGUGCCAGCAGCCGCGGUAACUCCAGCUCCAAUAGCGUA